UACGUAGGGGGCGAGCGUUGUCCGGAUUCAUUGGGCGUAAAGCGCGCGCAGGCGGCCGCGAGAGCCCGGCGUGAAAGCCCCCGGCUCAACCGGGGGAGGCCGUCGGGGACCUCGGGGCUGGAGGCCGGUAGGGGCGAGCGGAAUUCCCGGUGUAGUGGUGGAAUGCGUAGAGAUCGGGAGGAACACCGGUGGCGGAGGCGGCUCGCUGGGCCGGUCCUGACGCUCGGGCGCGAAAGCGUGGGGAGCGAUCCGG
RNAcentral lists this ribosomal RNA (253 nucleotides) under uncultured bacterium. RNAcentral's name for it is "partial 16S ribosomal RNA". It matches the Rfam family "Bacterial small subunit ribosomal RNA", at positions 524 to 776 of the family's 1533-position model. The record is from RNAcentral.